UCCUGCCAUCCCGCAGCGGUCCAGCCUGCUCAGCAGGGCUCACUGUCUUUUCCCGCUCACUGUUCCUGGGUCACACCGAUGUACAAGCCACUUCAGGGAUUCCACCUCUGUUUGGAGAAAACUGGAUACAAUCUGACCAAAUAAGGAAAGAGAUCAAGAAAACUCGCAUCCUGAGAUGGUGAUGUGCCUCAUUAGAGAAAAGCACCUACCCUUUCUAUACAUGCCUGUGAACAUGCGUUCAUAGAACAAGUGAACAUGCUGACACGUGACAUCUUUGCAUUCUCUGCAGAACUAGGAGUAAACGGAGAACUGGCCAUUAACUACGUUUCCUGAAUACAAUGAAAGUGUGCAAGUCAGACACUGAGCCAACUACUGCUUCUGUACCUAAUGGGCCCCUUUGCUAUGGCUCACACAAGAGUUCUGCCAAUAAAAAUCCUUUCCCUUACUUCCCAGAGACAGCCUGAUGUGCAGUACACCACUCAUCACCGUUCGGUUGCGUCUGCCAAGGACUACAGCUGCUAGGCAGUCUGAGCUCAUCUAAAUCACCCUGUGAGUGCACGCAGCUCAGUGCUGACAGGAAAGGCACUGUGGAGAAGGCCCAGCAGGUUACUCUGUGGGUUCCAGCAUUCACCACAGCUUUGUCCUCAGCCUCUGCUCCUCAGUCAAGUGCCCCCAGCUGCGAUGAGCCACACUGCCAGGCAUUGCUGUCUGGGAGGAACCGUGAGGACAGGAGUCUCAACUGCUGUCAUCUUUCUGCCGCUAUAGCAGAUACCAGAGAUGAACAAUGAAAAGAUUAUCUUCUAAACUGAUACACAAAGUGGUAGGACGUUGAGGCAGAGAAAACCUAGUCACCCCAUGGAUGGGAAAUGAAAAAGACAAAGAAUGACUGUGCAUCAGUCUGGUCCUGGGACACAUCCUCCAUGACCGGAAGAGCUGACUCGAGGAUGGAGUAGCGAGUCCACCACUUUCCACUAGCGCCUGCUAGAGACCAAACAUACAGAACAAUGGAGUGCACGAGCAUUUGGAGACAUAGGAAGAGCCUCGGAAGCAACAUCUCUCAUGGUACUCAGUCUAGUCCUCCGAGAUGUUGACUGGGAAGCCUGGAAGGUGUCCUGAGAACCAGAGGAAGAGCAAAUAGCUUUGGCUCCUCCACUGGGGUCCGCAUUAUGUUAUUUCCACAGGUUGAAUCUUCCUGAGAGAGAAGGCUGCUAGAGAAAAUCAGGGCCACCUGCGUCCACGACUGUAUUUUGUGACUCCUAGAACCUUCUUCUUGUGGAGACGGAGUAUGGCCCAGAGAACAACUGCCCCAAAAGGAGUCUUUGCUGUUGGAUGUUUUUAAGGAAUUGCUUUAAUCCUAGCUACGGUCCUUCAUUCCUUUCUAUGUUUCUACUGCGGGCUGCCAGUUCUUCAAAUGGCCUGACUCCACCUGCAUUCUGCCCCGCAAUGGCCAACUUCAAUAGAAUUAACCGUCACAAACGGCAGUUUGUAACAUCUUCAUGAAGAGAUCCAUCCUGUUGCUUUUGAAUUUUGCUAGUUAUUUGUGUCUAUUUUCUGUACAAAAUUGAUCUAGACACAUAAAACUAGAUUAGUAAUACUGAUAUUGAUGUAUAUUUAAGGGGAUAGAUGUGGUUUUGCUAAAAUAAAAGAAACAAACAAACAAACAAACAAA
Long non-coding RNA from Mus musculus (house mouse), 1669 nucleotides. RefSeq annotates it as predicted gene, 36330. The transcript has 7 exons. The record is from RefSeq and is a predicted model, not a curated record. NCBI's taxonomy places the organism in Eukaryota, Metazoa, Chordata, Mammalia, Rodentia, Muridae.